UACGUAGGGGGCAAGCGUUGUCCGGAUUUAUUGGGCGUAAAGAGCGUGUUGGCGGCUGGAUAGGUCCGUUGUGAAAACUCGAGGCUCAACCUCGAGACGCCGAUGGAAACCAUCCAGCUAGAGUCCGGAAGAGGAGAGUGGAAUUCCUGGUGUAGCGGUGAAAUGCGCAGAUAUCAGGAAGAACACCAAUGGCGAAAGCAGCUUUCUGGGACGGUACUGACGCUGAGACGCGAAAGCGUGGGGAGCGAACAGG
This 253-nucleotide ribosomal RNA is filed under the name uncultured bacterium. RNAcentral describes it as "partial 16S ribosomal RNA". It matches the Rfam family "Bacterial small subunit ribosomal RNA", at positions 524 to 776 of the family's 1533-position model. The record is from RNAcentral.